GUCCAACUACUUCUAAAAAAUAAAUGUUUUAUUAAAAAGAAUCUGCGUCUGAGCAAUUGUUGGGAAGAGCAGAAGAAAAGAAAAAGAUCUCAAUGUGUGCAAGAAUGCCAUCAUCAUUGAUUGAAGAUGUUGUUUCCCUGAGCCCGCCGACUAAGGAAGGCAUUCUAGAAGGCUCUGCCCUCUGUCUUAAUCCGUUUGGGCUUCUAAAACAAAACAAAGACUAGGUGGUUUACAAACAACAGAAGUUUAUUUCUCACAGCGUCUGGAGGCUGGGAAGUUCAAGAUCAAGGCACCAACUGACCCAGUGCUCAGUUCAGAGCUUCUUGCUUUGUCUUCUCAUGGUAAGAGGGUCUCUUGACUCCCCCAUGAGGCCACAAAUUGGGA
Molecule: long non-coding RNA, 384 nt
Filed under: Ictidomys tridecemlineatus (thirteen-lined ground squirrel)
Lineage: Eukaryota; Metazoa; Chordata; Mammalia; Rodentia; Sciuridae
Description: lncRNA (ENSSTOG00000033114.1)
Source: RNAcentral